AGAGUUUGAUCCUGGCUCAGGAUGAACGCUAGCGAUAGGCUUAACACAUGCAAGUCGAGGGGCAGCAUGGUCUUAGCUUGCUAAGACUGAUGGCGACCGGCGCACGGGUGCGUAACGCGUAUGCAACUUGCCUCACAGAGGGGGAUAACCCGUCGAAAGACGGACUAAUACCGCGUACACUCCAUCUUGGGCAUCCAAGGAGGAGGAAAUGAACUUCGCUGUGAGAUAGGCAUGCGUCCCAUUAGCUAGUUGGUGAGGUAACGGCUCACCAAGGCGACGAUGGGUAGGGGAACUGAGAGGUUGAACCCCCACACUGGUACUGAGACACGGACCAGACUCCUACGGGAGGCAGCAGUGAGGAAUAUUGGUCAAUGGGCGAGAGCCUGAACCAGCCAAGUCGCGUGAAGGAUGACUGUCUUAUGGAUUGUAAACUUCUUUUAUACGGGAAUAACAAGAGUCACGUGUGACUCCCUGCAUGUACCGUAUGAAUAAGCAUAGGCUAACUCCGUGCCAGCAGCCGCGGUAAUACGGAGGAUGCGAGCGUUAUCCGGAUUUAUUGGGUUUAAAGGGUGCGUAGGCGGCCUGUUAAGUCAGCGGUGAAAUCUAGGAGCUUAACUCCUAAAUUGCCAUUGAAACUGGCGGGCUUGAGUGUAGAUGAGGUAGGCGGAAUGCGUGGUGUAGCGGUGGAAUGCAUAGAUAUCACGCAGAACUCCAAUUGCGAAGGCAGCCUACUAAGGUACAACUGACGCUGAAGCACGAAAGCGUGGGUAUCAAACAGGAUUAGAUACCCUGGUAGUCCACGCAGUAAACGAUGAUAACUGGGCGUAUGCGAUAUACAGUAUGCUCCUAAGCGAAAGCGUUAAGUUAUCCACCUGGGGAGUACGCCGGCACGGUGAAACUCAAGGAAUGACGGGGGCCCGCACAGCGAGACAUGUGGUUUAUCGAUGAUACGCGAGGACUUACCGGGAUGAAUGUAGAUGACGCGGUGAAGUCGCUUUCUCGGGACAUCUAUGUAGUGCUGCAUGUGUCGUCAGCUCGUGGCGUGGAGGUUGUCGGCUUAAA
Molecule: ribosomal RNA, 1062 nt
Filed under: uncultured bacterium
Lineage: Bacteria
Description: bacterial SSU rRNA
Rfam family: Bacterial small subunit ribosomal RNA
Source: RNAcentral